This 573-nucleotide ribosomal RNA is filed under the name Filobasidium magnum. Its description in RNAcentral is "eukaryotic LSU rRNA". It matches the Rfam family "Eukaryotic large subunit ribosomal RNA", at positions 71 to 630 of the family's 3401-position model. Lineage: Eukaryota; Fungi; Basidiomycota; Tremellomycetes; Filobasidiales; Filobasidiaceae. The record is from RNAcentral.
AGGAUUCCCCUAGUAACGGCGAGUGAAGCGGGAAGAGCUCAAAUUUGAAAUCUGGUGGCCUCAGGUCAUCCGAGUUGUAAUCUAUAGAAGUGUUUUCCGUGCUGGCUCAUGUACAAGUCCCUUGGAACAGGGCGUCAUAGAGGGUGAGAAUCCCGUCCUUGACAUGAACUACCAGUGCUCUGUGAUACAUUUUCAACGAGUCGAGUUGUUUGGGAAUGCAGCUCAAAAUGGGUGGUAAAUUCCAUCUAAAGCUAAAUAUUGGCGAGAGACCGAUAGCGAACAAGUACCGUGAGGGAAAGAUGAAAAGCACUUUGGAAAGAGAGUUAAACAGUAUGUGAAAUUGUUGAAAGGGAAACGAUUGAAGUCAGUCGUGCUCUUUGGAUUCAGCCGGUUCUGCCGGUGUACUUCCUUUGAGUGGGGUCAACAUCAGUUUUGAUCGCUGGAUAAAGGCUGGAGGAACGUAGUACCCUCGGGUAAACUUAUAGCCUCCUGUCACAUACAGUGGUUGGGACUGAGGAACGCAGCACGCCUUUAUGGCCGGGAUUCGUCCACGUACGUGCUUAGGAUGUUGAC